GGGGAAUCUUGCACAAUGGGCGGAAGCCUGAUGCAGCAACGCCGUGUGAGCGAAGACGGCCUUCGGGUUGUAAAGCUCUGUCAGGGGGGAUGAUAGUGACAGUACCCCCGGAGGAAGCCCCGGCUAACUACGUGCCAGCAGCCGCGGUAACACGUAGGGGGCGAGCGUUGUCCGGAAUUACUGGGCGUAAAGGGCGUGUAGGCGGUUUUGCAAGUCAGCUGUGAAACCCCCGGGCUCAACCCGGGGCUUGCAGUUGAGACUGCGGGGCUUGAGUGCAGGAGAGGAGAGUGGAAUUCCUAGUGUAGCGGUGAUAUGCGUAGAUAUUAGGAGGAACACCAGUGGCGAAGGCGGCUCUCUGGACUGCAACUGACGCUGAGGCGCGAAAGCGUGGGGAGCAAAC
RNAcentral lists this ribosomal RNA (400 nucleotides) under uncultured bacterium. Its description in RNAcentral is "bacterial SSU rRNA". It matches the Rfam family "Bacterial small subunit ribosomal RNA", at positions 356 to 773 of the family's 1533-position model. The record is from RNAcentral.